AUAAUACUCUCUUCUCCCGGAAUUACUUGUCGCAAAAAUGGAUGUAUCUAGACAUAUUUUAGUUUUCGCUACAUCCAUUUUUAUCCAUUUCUACAACAAGUAAUUCAGGACGAAGGGAGUAGACA
Non-coding RNA from Triticum aestivum (bread wheat), 125 nucleotides. The record is from Rfam. Lineage: Eukaryota; Viridiplantae; Streptophyta; Magnoliopsida; Poales; Poaceae.